Molecule: long non-coding RNA, 3476 nt
Filed under: Homo sapiens (human)
Lineage: Eukaryota; Metazoa; Chordata; Mammalia; Primates; Hominidae
Description: HSALNT0258069
Source: RNAcentral
AUAAUAGCUGCAAAAAUAUAAAGUGUAGUUUAUUGAAUUUAGGAUUUUCACUUCACUGAUAGACCAGUCUUAGGUUGAUCAUUAUGGAAGAGUUAUUACAGAGAUAUUGCUGAAGCCCUCCACAAAGUUAACUUUAAUCUUGUGCCACAGACCAGAGAUUUCCGAUCUAUAAUAAUCUAUUUCAUAAGCACUCACAGAAGCAAGCAAUUGAAUAGUCUUCCUUUUGUGGUGUAUUUAGGUCUUCUUUAAGUAUCUGGACUAAAAACCAUCUUAACUUCAUGUUCCUGGCAGUACUGUGUUUGGGACAUUGUUAAACUCCAAUAAAUAGUGCUGAGUACUGAAAAGGAGAAAAUCAUCCUGAAUCCUUCCUCAGAAGAGAAUUGAUCAGUUCACCUGCUUGAUAAUAUUUUUCCUCUCUAAUCAAAAUGUUCCCCUCCUAAAUCCCAGGAUGGAAAAUGAGUAAGACAGAUAAAAUGGUAAAAUUAAAUGAAAUGACAUCCAUUGCAUUUACAAGUUUUGAAAAUAAAAUACUAAAGGACAGACUUUUUGACACUGAAGUCUUACAUAGGCAGAACAUUCAUUACGAAACAAACAUAACUAAAGUAAAAUCUCAGUUUUUAAGAUCCUGAAUUCAUUAUUUAUGCUUUUCAACUUUUUCUUAUGGGGAUGGUUUAAAUUUAAAUCCAAAAUAUACUGUAAUAUCUCCUCUGACCUCAAGUCCUGGAAAGAUAAAAUACACUGAUUUUUGUUGUUGUUGUUGUUAGACCUGAUGUUUCCAAAAUACUCUUUGGAAAAUCUUCCUUUCAAAUGCCACUCAGAAAUUCAUUUUUUUUUUUUUUUUUCAUUUGGAGCAUGCAACUCCAUGGCUCAGUAGUUGCCAUGGGCCUCAGCCUUCAGUCUGGCGGUGGAGGGGAGACAAACCAGGAACGUGAGCUUUACAAAAGAGGUUAAUAUAAAUACCACAAUGGAUAUUUCCUGGUUAUUUUGGAAAAACUUACUGAGAAAGGGCCUGUGAGAAAAGGAAGGCUUCCUGCAGGGCACUGCACCUAAGCAGAUAGGCAGGCAGUGGAUGAAAUAGCUAAAAUAAAGAUAAGAAGGGACAGCUUGGGAAAAGACUGAAAGAAAACUACAAAGAAUAUAGGUUACAAGAAAAUUCUGUUACUAGAGCAAGGGGUUUACCGAUGGGAUGCAGGUGAGGACUUGUAUAAGGAGUUUUGACAUAUACCUUGACACAUACUAAUGUGCUACUUCCUAAAACAACCCUGAGCGGGUAUUAUUUUUCAGAUGAAGGAAGAGGAAUGGAUUGAGUAAUUUAUGUCAGGUCACACAUCUAGGAAAUGGCAGAGCCAGUACUGGAAUCCAAAACCAAUGUCAUAUUCUUAACCUCCACACUACUUGGCAGCUACAUGGAGGACAAAUUUUAUGGGGACAGAAUUGGGGGAAAGAUCUAUCUGGAAUUUUACUGCAGUAGACUAGGCAAGACUUAACAAGGCCUCAAUUAAAACACUACAGUAUAAAAUGGGGAUCAGACUAUAGGCUCUGGACUCGAGACUCCCUCAGCUAAAAUAAAAGUUUUGGCUCAACAAACCUAACAGGUAUGGUUGUAGAAAAGAAACUUUGGUGUGCCUCAGUUUCCCCAUCUGUAAACUAGAAAUAGCAACACUACCUGACAUUAACCUCAGAUUUUACAGAUUAAGAGAGACCAUAUACCUAAUGUACACUUAGCCUAGUGGUCAGUAAUGGGUGCUCAAAAAGUUGGCCAUUAUUAGAAUGCUACAGAUGACAGAUACAGUAAUGGUCUUGUUAAGAGUAAAUUAGCAGGCCGGACGCAGUGACUCAGGCCUGUAAUCCCAGCAUUUUGGGAGGCCGAGGCAGGUGGAUUCCCUGAGCUCAGGAGUUUGAGACCAGCCUGGGCAACACGGUGACACCCCGUCUCUACAAAAAUACAACAUAUUAACCAGGUGUGGCAUCGUGUGCCUGCAAUCCCAGCUACUUAGGAGGCUGACAGGAGAAUCACUUGAACCUGGGAGGUGGAGGUUGCAGUGAGCCAAGAUCUUGCCAUUGCACUGCAGCCUGGGCAACACUGAGACUCCAUCUCAAAAAAAAAGAAAAACAAAGAGUAGAUUGGCAGAACUAGGGGACUGAUUUGGGGCAAAGUGGAGAGGAGAUAAUGGAUGGAAAGGAGGCAGGGAAAACUAACAGGUUUUUCGCCUGGCGGGUAGUUAACAAGGUCGAUGGAGAGGCAACUGACUAAAAUAGAGAAGCUGGUUCAUUGGAAACAGAGAUGACAUCUUUUCCUUUCAGACAGUUUGAGUUUAAGGUGUCAACAGGACAUCCAAACAUAUAUGCCCAGUAAGCACAUGAAUAUGAAACUCAGGGAAGUGGUUGUGGGGAGUCACCAGCAAAUAGGUGGUGAUAAAGUGUGUUAGAACAGUGGGCUAAGGAUAACAGUCCAUAAAAUAUAAACAUUAUUUUGGGUUAAUAUACAAAAUGCAAUGAAAUUCAAACGACAUGAAAAUACAGAAAAUGAAAUUUAGUACUGUGAGAAUGAAGAAUUACUUCUGAUAUUUAAAUAGUAUGUUCCUACAGUUUAGAAAAAUGAGGGUACUAAAGCACAUUUUGAUCCAGUCAGGACAAAUGCCCUCUAUACACUCAGAUUGAGUCAAAGUUUUUACAAAGGUAUGCUCAGAAAGACCAAAGAAAAUUUGAUGUUAUCUUUAACAAAUAAUGCAACAUUUUCAAAAAGGCCAUUUUUAUAACACUUUUUAAAGCAUAAUGAAAACACUUGGCUCUCAAGAUUGUCCCAAGAAUUAUCCCCAAUAAAAUUCAAAGUGUCAUCACUACAGAAACAAACCCAGCAGGACCACUUCUGCAUGCAGGCAGUAUUAGGUCUCAGAUGCUCCCUUUCUGCCUCCUGAUAGAGUGGAUGCAGGAACUUUGGGGACAUGAUGAACCACACACAAAAUGAACGAAAUGGCAGAGCACUCUCAUUUUGGAAAGUUUCUCUCAGGUAAUAUCCCAUCACUGCCUAUUAAGACUAAAGGAUUAAGUACUAAUUUACACUCAUAAGGGACUAAUAAAAUUUCCUGGCCUGUCACUUAAGGAGAAAAACCAGCAGACCAGACGUGAAGAUAAACCCUCAGAGCUACUAAUGCCUCAUUCAGGACUCUUUCCCACAGAUUAGUGUUGAGAUUAUCACACGGCUUACACAGUAGGGAGGAAAUGCAUAGCCAGGACUCUUACCAAGUCCGGUAAAUAAGGAAUACCUAGAUACUACUGUUUCUGUCAAUGCCAUAGACACUUAGAUGACCCGUUAAUUUUACUUCAUCCCAACAAUGACCGUGCAGAAUCUGCGUCCCUGACGCAAAGCAGGAAGCAAAUAUUUGGGCAAGAAAAUAAAGUCAGUUACAGAUUUCACAAGUAUCUUGUACACCAGUCUGUAAUUUUUAAUUAGAAUUAGCUAAAAGACAUUGUAC